RNAcentral lists this ribosomal RNA (489 nucleotides) under uncultured bacterium. RNAcentral's name for it is "partial 16S ribosomal RNA". It matches the Rfam family "Bacterial small subunit ribosomal RNA", at positions 30 to 507 of the family's 1533-position model. The record is from RNAcentral.
AUUGAACGCUGGCGGCAGGCCUAACACAUGCAAGUCGAACGGUAACAGGAAGCAGCUUGCUGCUUUGCUGACGAGUGGCGGACGGGUGAGUAAUGUCUGGGAAACUGCCUGAUGGAGGGGGAUAACUACUGGAAACGGUAGCUAAUACCGCAUAACGUCGCAAGACCAAAGAGGGGGACCUUCGGGCCUCUUGCCAUCGGAUGUGCCCAGAUGGGAUUAGCUAGUAGGUGGGGUAACGGCUCACCUAGGCGACGAUCCCUAGCUGGUCUGAGAGGAUGACCAGCCACACUGGAACUGAGACACGGUCCAGACUCCUACGGGAGGCAGCAGUGGGAAUAUUGCACAAUGGGCGCAAGCCUGAUGCAGCCAUGCCGCGUGUAUGAAGAAGGCCUUCGGGUUGUAAAGUACUUUCAGCGGGGAGGAAGGGAGUAAAGUUAAUACCUUUGCUCAUUGACGUUACCCGCAGAAGAAGCACCGGCUAACUCCGUG